AACGUAGGAGACAACCGUUAUCCGGAGUUACUGGGCGUAAAGGGCGUGUAGGUGGUUUCGUAAGUCUGGCGUGAAAUAUCUCGGCUUAACCGAGGCAGGUCGUCGGAUACUGCGGAACUAGAGGACGGUAGAGGCGUGUGGAAUUCCGGGUGUAGUGGUGAAAUGCGUAGAGAUCCGGAGGAACACCAGUGGCGAAGGCGACACGCUGGGCCGUACCUGACACUGAUGCGCGACAGCAUGGGGAGCAAACAGG
Molecule: ribosomal RNA, 253 nt
Filed under: uncultured bacterium
Lineage: Bacteria
Description: partial 16S ribosomal RNA
Rfam family: Bacterial small subunit ribosomal RNA
Source: RNAcentral